Long non-coding RNA from Limulus polyphemus (Atlantic horseshoe crab), 741 nucleotides. RefSeq lists it as uncharacterized. The record is from RefSeq and is a predicted model, not a curated record. The transcript has 5 exons. NCBI's taxonomy places the organism in Eukaryota, Metazoa, Arthropoda, Merostomata, Xiphosura, Limulidae.
CCAUUAUGGCUUUCUUUGGCGUUAUCUAAGCCUUCUUGAGGUUUCUAGCGCGUGAGGUGUAGUUACCCAAGUUAUAAUCACCUUUAGGUCUUAGUUAGUACCCAGAAAAUUGGCGUAGAGUAAUAUUAGUCAAAUCAAUCAGUUUAGGCUACACAUUUUACUGUCUCAUUUCCUGGGACAGAUGCAUAAUAGGGAAGAAAGCCAACCAGGAAGGGAUGACAUUUUGCCAACCACUGAGGAAGAUAUGGUUUCAAGAACUGAAGUGGGGAACAUUUAGUAAAGAGCAUUGCAUACUUAGGGUAGAAGAAAAAAAUGUGUUGAAGCAUGAUUAAAGAUUUCUAUGCUCAUCUUAGAUGUCACGUAUAUCAUCAUUCACAUCGAAAAAACUUCAUUUUAUUUUUGUGAUUUCUGUUGUCAUUAGCAUUUGUUGGAUAAUAUUUCAGCUUGAAGUAAUUGAGAAAUGCUUUGGAACUGUACCUUUACAAACACUUUCCACAUUCUUGCUUGAAGAUGAUGUUUCCUGUCAUAGAAAACAGGGUAACUGCCUUCUCACAACUGGCUACAGACAGUGAAAGACAGUAAGAGUUGAGAUGUUGAGGUUGUAAGCACUCAACUCUGUGGCCUAAAUGAAUUUUCCACAACUGCUAACUGGUUUCUUAUCUGCUCUUUGGAUUUUGUCUGAUAGAUGGGAUAUCCCCAAUGCUUUUGGGUGCUGUUACGACAGGCAAUCUUCAUUAUAAC